AUUGAACGCUGGCGGCAGGCCUAACACAUGCAAGUCGAACGAGUGGCGGCCGGGUGAGUAAUGUCUGGGAAACUGCCCGAUGGAGGGGGAUAACUACUGGAAAAAGUAGCUAAUACCGCAUACAAUCGGAUGUGCCCAGAUGGGAUUAGCUAGUAGGUGGUGUAACGCCUCACCUAGGCGACGAUCCCUAGCUGGUCUGAGAGGAUGACCGUCCACCUUGGAGCUGAACCACGGUCCCGACUCCUACGGGAGGCAGCAGUGGGUGACAGUGCACAAUGGGCGCAAGCCUGAUGCAUCCAUGCCGCGUGUAUGAAGAAGGCCUUCGGGUUGUAAAGUCCUUUCAGCGAGGACGCGUUACUCGCAGAAGAAGCACCGGCUAACUCCGUGCCAGCAGCCGCGGUAAUUC
This 406-nucleotide ribosomal RNA is filed under the name uncultured bacterium. RNAcentral's name for it is "partial 16S ribosomal RNA". It matches the Rfam family "Bacterial small subunit ribosomal RNA", at positions 30 to 526 of the family's 1533-position model. The record is from RNAcentral.